UACGGAGGAUGCGAGCGUUAUCCGGAUUUACUGGGUGUAAAGGGAGCGUAGACGGUUAAUCAAGUCAGAAGUGAAAACCCAGGGCUCAACCUUGGGACUGCUUUUGAAACUGAGUAGCUAGAGUGCAGGAGAGGUAAGCGGAAUUCCUAGUGUAGCGGUGAAAUGCGUAGAUAUCGAGAGGAACACUCGUGGCGAAGGCGGGUUCCUGGACAUUAACUGACGCUGAGGCACGAAGGCCAGGGGAGCGAAAGGG
Molecule: ribosomal RNA, 253 nt
Filed under: uncultured Lachnospiraceae bacterium
Lineage: Bacteria; Bacillati; Bacillota; Clostridia; Lachnospirales; Lachnospiraceae
Description: partial 16S ribosomal RNA
Rfam family: Bacterial small subunit ribosomal RNA
Source: RNAcentral